Molecule: long non-coding RNA, 10752 nt
Organism: Cottoperca gobio
Lineage: Eukaryota; Metazoa; Chordata; Actinopteri; Perciformes; Bovichtidae
Product: golgin subfamily A member 4-like
Source: Ensembl
GGUGGUCAACAAACAUGUGGAGGGAAGAGAUAUCAGUGUUUUAAAGAUAAUAGUGUAAGCUUGCCUCUACACAGAGUUUAACAUCCAAGCAGACAAGCACAUCACUCAAAGGACUUGCUAAAAAGUGACUUAUCUUCAAGUAAUUUGAGCCUAGCAUGGUUUUCCUUAUGUUUUUGUACACAACUCGGGACAAAAGGGAGGUGAGCCUGUAAUCUCAUGGGAAGUUCUGAAUGUGUAAGAUGGAAACAUAUCAAUCAGGAGACCUUGAGCAAAGACAACAGAGUAGCAGGAUGACCCAAACAGAACAGCAGUGGACAAGAGAAAACAGCAAGCAAUUAGAAGACGAACAAACAAUAGUCAACAUGAAAACCAAAUGGGAGAUUAUUAAAAUACAAAGACAAUUGACAUGUCGAGUAAUGGGGGAGAUUGAACAACUUUGGGAAGAGACACAAAGAGAGAGAAAUAAUAUCGAGUACUUGAAGACAAAUACAGAGCAGCAGCAGGAGGACAUUGACAGACUGACAGCUAAAAAACAUGAGCAGUAUUUAUUAAUAAAUAGACUGAGAAUACAGAUAGAAAAUAUUAUUGAGAAACUUGAGGAGAAUAAAAAUGAAGCCGCUCAAGAAGAAAUGCAACUUCUGAAAAUGAAGACUGAAAUAUACAGAGAGAGGGAAACUCUGGAAAGAAGACGUAAUGAACUAAUCAAUGAGCGACACAAGUUGGAAAUGAUCAAGUAUGAAAAGACAAAAUCACAAGAAAGUAAGGAACCCGAAGAACCCAUGGAGCAGAUAAAGAGAGAGCAGGAGAUUACGGAGAGGCUGAUGGUUGACUGUCUGCUCAGUCUAAUUAACAAAAAUAAGAAAAUAAUGCUUGAAGCAAAGCAGGCAAAAGAACAUAUGAAGAAAAACAUGGCAGACAUAAAGCAAGAGUUUCAGAGGAAUAAAAAGGAUAUUUCCCACCAUAGAGAUCAAAUUAAACUCAUCAAACACAAUAUGAAUGAAAAUAUUAACAAGAUGAAGCAAAGAACUGUUGAAAUGCAGAAAGCUGCAGUCCCAGAGAUACAAAGCAGAGAAAGGCAGAAAGAAGAAAGAGACACUUUCGGCACUGUGAAGAUUAAACUCCGCAGAAUCCAGGAAGAGAUGGAGAAACUUUGGGAUGAGCUGGAAGACAGCGUACAACAACUGGAAGUGACUGUGAGAGAGAAGCAGGAGCUAAAGACAAAGAGUGGUCAAAUGGAAGAUAUAAAAUCUGACUCAGACACAGAUGUGAGCAUAAAGAGAACACAGUGGAAAACAGCGAUGACUGCUGAUAUGCAGAGGCAAAAACAAAACUUAGAAAAUAAGUUGUCACAGGUCCAAUCUGAAAGAGACGAGAUACAAAAAAUCAAGACUAAAAUACAGACUGAGAGAGAGAACAUAGAGAGAGACAGGCAGUUAGCUAAAGCAGAAACGAAUGCAAUGAACUGUAUGAGGGAGAGUGCUGAAAAACAAAAACAGGAGCUGGACGACAAGUUACAGAGGACAAAGAAAGAGAUAAGAGAGAAGGAAGUGUUGAACACUGAGAUUGAAAUAAAGAUAAAAGACCUGGUAAAAAUAAUACGAAUGAGCAGGAGAAAAAAGGAAGGGAUCAGCAAGAUGAUGGAAGAGGCUGAAGAUGCUAAACAAGUCAUGGGGGAAAGACAAGAUGAGACUAAGGAGAAUUGGUCAGAGCAGGUGCUGCAGGUGAACAUGGAGUACAGAUUUGAUGAGCAGAAUAUAGGACUCCAGCAGGUUGACAGAACUAGAGACAUACAACAGCUUAAAGAACAUUCCUUUGAGGAAGACAACAUGGAAAGCACCAAGAAUAAAAUGAACACUGACAUGGAGAGAGUGAUUCUUGAAGUAAAAGAAAUCAGAAAGAUGCUGCGUAGGGUGAGAAAAGAGACAGGGCAAAGCAGGAAGGACUUUACAGAAGAAAAGAGACAAAUCCAAUGGAUGAAUUUUCGAUUUGAAAAAAAUAAACGAGAGCUUGACCAACAGCUGGAAAAGAGCAUUAAAGAGAGGGAUGAGAUGGAAAUCAUGAAGGUAAAGAUACAACAACACAGGGAAGAGGUCAAACAAAAACUGGAAGUUACUAUAACUACAAUUCUGACUAUGGGUGAGAUAAAAGCUAGCAUAGAAAAAGCUGCUGCAGAGAUGAAAAAUACCAGGGAGGAGAUGCUCGAAGUCCAAAGGAAGACAAACCAGAACAAGGAAGAGGUCAAGAAGUAUGUAGAUAAGAUGACUUCCAUGAAAGUUCAGGUCAGCAAAUGGAUAUUGACUGAAUCUGCAAUCAAAAAGACCUUUUCAAGGAAUACAUCUAAACUUCAAAUAGCACAGAAAGAAACAGCCAGAGACUCUCUCAAGGAUCAAGCAUUUGAAAUUCUAACAGACAAAGAAGGUGUAGAAGAUGAAAUUACAAAAGAAACCAUGACUAUACCAUUAGAAGACCAGCCUCAAAGUGAAGAUACAAAUGAGCAUUCAGAGCACAAACAGAGACAAGGACUCAAUUUUUUUGCAGUGGACAUGAAAGAGGAGCAGAAUGUUUUCUUACAGAUGCAGACCAAAAUCUAUGAAGAAACAUUAAUGGAUGAUGAUCAGACCAAAUUAGUGAUACAUGUAAGAGAAAUGGAAGUAGAAAAGCAGAUGUUCAAACUCAAGAAGAGAGAGGAUAAAUUAAGGGAACAAAUAAGGUACGCUAUGGAGAACAUGGAGGAAGACAAUAAAGAGAUUAAAAGGAUCAUUAUGGACAUAAAUGACCUGCAGAGCCAGAAACCAGAGGCUGAAAAUUGCUUACCAAUUACAGUCAGGGAAAGCACAAAUGUUUUCAAAGAUGAAAUCGUUGAAUAUGAAGUGAACAUGCAAAAACAGGAGGAUGACAAUAAGGUGAAACAAGAAGUUAUUGAUGUUGUUGAGAAGCAAAAACAAAGUCAGGAUUCAAGAGAAAAUAUACAGAUACAUACUGAGGAGAUUGAUGGAGGUUAUGAUAAAAAGGACACAGGAAGUGCUGAUAUACAAAGACUUAGGGCUGAGAUUUAUAGAACACAAAAUAUUAUAAGACAAGUAAAACUAGAACUUGAAAACCAAGAUGAAGAAAGCAAUAUCGACAAAGAUCAUAGGGAUAACGACAGUGAAAUUGAAGGAUUACUACAAGACAUGAAACAAUUCCAAGAGCUUUUAAAACUGCUAAAAACUGCAAUGAGGCAAAAUAAAAUGCAUCUGAAAGAAAAAAUGAGCAACAUGAAAUUGAGGAAAACUGCAGCCAAAAAACUGAAGAGAAAACUGGAUCAGAGGUUAGAGAAAACUUUGAGAGACAGAGAUGAAUUUGAUCAUUUAAAAAUAAAAAUGCAGAAACAAACUGAAGAGACAGAGGAGAAGUUGGAGAAAAUGACAAAAGUUAAGAGGACUGUCGAGGAAAUUGCUGCAAGGACUAGACAGAAAAGUGAAGACACAGAGAUUAUUAUGAAGCAGACCCAAGUAAAACUGAGACAGUUGGAAGACUUGAACUAUAGGAUUGAGGCUACAAAACAAGAACUGGAAAACAGCCUUGCUUUUACAUUCCAGGAAAGAACUGACCUUGAAAAAGUCCACACUGAAAUCAGACAGAAAAAGGACAGAGAAUGUGCCUUGGAAAGUACUGAGAGAGAGAAGGGAGACAUAAAGCAAUGUGAAAGAGAUGAAACAGAUACAGAAAGGGACAAAAUGAUUAAGAACAGAAUGGGUAAAGACAUUGAGGAAAUGGAAAAUGAAAUCUUCAGACUCAGAUCAAAAAAAGAGAAACUGGAGAAGGAUAUAAAACUGACAAUGGUCAGUUUGGAUCUGAAAAAUAGUGAAAUUGAACAACUGAAAAAGUCUAUAAGUGAGGAAGUUAAACAAAAGACUGAGAGAGAAGAGAUUGAGAUGCUGAAACAACAGAUUCAAGUUGAGCGGGAGAAUGUGAGAAAAGAAAGACAACAAGAAAUACAUGAGAUGAACCGUUUAAGGGAGAAUAUCGAAAGACAGAAACAGGAGCUUGAUGACAGAGUGCAAACAACCAAAACAGAAAUAAGAGAAAUGGAGAUACUGAAGUCAGAGCUGGAAAUAAAGAAAAAAGAAAGUAAACAGAUAUAUAGAACAAGCAUGCGAAAAAUGGUGGAGAGUGAAAUGAGGUGGAAUGACAUACAAAGAGAAAGGGAAGUACUGAGGAGAGAGACCAAAAAGAGAAGAAGAGAAUUAGACCAAAGACUGGAAGAAACCAUGAGAGAGAGGGAUGAGUCAGAAAUGUUGAAGAUAAAACUGCAACGGCAGAAAGAGGAGCUGGCUGAGGAGAAACAGAGAUUCAAAGACCAGAUAACUCUGAUCCAAGUAUACAGAGAACAUGAAAAACAAAGUCUGGAAAAGCCAGAGGUGAAAAACUUCAGGGAGAAAAUUCAAAUGAUCCACCAAAGCUCAAAGGACACUGAUUCCAUUAUUGGCCUUCAAAACAUGAAACAAAAUAUUCAUGUACAUUUGAAAAUAAUUAGGAGAGAAAUGGGAAUUCUGGAAAAUGUAAAUGUUGAUUUAGGGGAACAAAGAGAAGGGCUCAAAGCAAUACAAGCUGAGAACAGGACUGUAGCUGAGCCAAACAGUGAGCACAACAUGAGCCAAAUCAAAGAUCUGAUAAAGAUGAACUUUGUCAAAAUGACAAUACAGGCAGAAGCAGAUUUGGUUGAAAUGGUGCACAUGACGGACGGUAUCCAAAAACAAAAACAGUGGCUUGAAAUCACACUAGAAGAAGUUAAAAGACAAAGAAGAGAGAUUGAAGUGUUGAAGUCUGAAAUGGAGGGGAAAAAAAAUGAAAAUCAACGGAUGAUCCGAAAAGGCAUUCAAAAAGAGCAGGAAGUUAAAAAGAUGUGGGCUGAGGUCAAAGAAGAAGAAGAUGCCCACAAGAGGGAGAGAAAGAAGAGAAAGAAAGAGCUCGACCAGCGACUGGAGAGGAUCAGCAGAGAGAGAGACGAACUGGAGAUCAUGAAACUAAAGAUGCAAAGAGAAAAGGACGGGAUCAAAGGUGGAAUAGAAGUGUCCAGGAUGGCAACAGUCACACAAGUUCCAAAUCCAAUUCAAAAGCACUGGGGGCUAAUUCAGACAUGUAUGGAGAAAUAUAAAGUCAUGGAAAAACUGAAUGAAGAUUGGAAUGGAGCAAUUAAAGAUGAAAAACGACACAUGGAGGCCCAGGCAAAGAUCACAACCCAGGAAAGAGAGAAAGUGGAAAAUAUCAAGAUGGAGAUUCAAAGACAAAAAGAAAUAUUAUGUGCUUUAAAGAACAAGCAACAAAAGCAAACACAUUUGGAGCAAGAGGAGAUUAAUAUAGUUAAAGAGAGAGAGAAAGAGAUUCUCAAAGCUGAGACAAUGAUCCUCAAAGAUGGACGACAGAAAGAAAAGAAAGAACACAGGGUAAUAAAGAGGCCAUUUAAUGUGAGUGAGAAAAUACAGAAUGAGUUAGAUGAAUUAAAAGAAUUAACAAAGGAAGACCAAAGUGGAAAAGGGCGAAAUGAAGAAGAGGUGAAAUUAAAAAGUGAAAAGAAAGAAAAAACAUCUUCAAAUGAUUGUACAGACACUCUUGUGUUAAAACAGAAUGAACCACCUAGAAAUUACAAUAAGGAGAAACUAGAACCUUUAAAAACAAAAAUUAUGAAUGAAAAACCUGAAAUUGCAACAAGAAAAGAGAAAUUCCAAAGUAAAAGGAAACUGAAAGUUGGGUUUCAAGAAUUAGGCGAUGUAAAUCUAAACCAGAAGAGAGACAAGGGCCUGAAAGAUGUGGCUGGAACUAAAACAUUGAUAAACCAACAUGAAUUAAAAUCUGACAAAACAGAAGAUGAUAUGCAUAAGGAAAUUCACGACGUAAAAGAAAGUGAACAUGGAGAAGAGGAAAAACACAUGCUUAAAAAUAAAUUGAUUGAGCAGGCAAAAAGAGAAGAAAUGGAAUCGGAAAAGGAGGAAGUAAAAAGUGCAAAGAAAACUGAGCUCUUAGACACAGAAGGGCUGAUAAAAAAGAGAGAGGAUCUGGAUAGAGAGAGUGAGAAGAUGAACAAAGAGAAACUGCACUUGGAGCUGAUGACGUCUGACAUCCGGAAACAAAAUGACGUAUUACAACAAGCGAUACAAGAUAUACGAGAGGAAAGAGACGCAUUGGAAACAACAAAGUCUGAGCUACAAAAGAAGAAAGAACAUGCAGACAGUCAGUUUGAUGAGAUAAACAGAGAGAAAAGCAACAUUAAAGAUCUGACCCUUCAGCUUCAGGCACAAAGACUCAAACUGGAGAAUGCCAUGAACAUGAUCACCCGAAAACAAGAAGUACAAGAACUCAAGGAAGACCAGUUCAAGAGACAGACACAAGCCCUGGAAACCAGUAAGAACAAUGUACUGGCUGAAAAAGAAGAGCUGGAGCUUUUGAGGAAGGAUCUGAACAAGAAGAAAGAAGAGGUUGAUGCUACAAUGAACACCAUGAGUGGAGAGAGAGUAAUACUCACUAAAAUGAAGACUGAAGUAGACAUGGAAAGGGAAAUGCUUUCAGAUGAUGAGCAAAGACUAAAAGAACUGUCGGAGCUGAAAAUAAAAGCCGAUCAGUUCAAUGAUAAAAUGAAAUACAUUGAAAGUCUGAGAGCAAAACUCAAACAUUUCAGUGAAACAACACAAGAAAAUAUCAAGAACAAAAUGGAGAGAUUAGCACAACAUGCUGAAGAUGUGCAAAAGCUAUGUAGUGUCCUCGAUCAAAAGCAAACAGAACUUGAUGAAGACAAAAACAAGUUGCUUGAUUACAUUCAAGUGUUUAACAGAGAAAAGCAACAUCUCAUCACUACGAAAUCAGACAUGUUCCAGAACAGAAAUGAAAUGGAAGCACAAGAUGGUGGAAAACUAAAGACAGAGAUGACCCAAGAGAGAGAAGAUCAGAAAAGUAUCAACGGCAUUGUGGUCAAAGAGAAAUUGGCCUUGGAGCUGAUGAAGUCUGACAUGAAGAAACAAAUUAACCUGUUAGAACGACACAGACAAGAAAUGAAAGAGAGAAAAAAUGAGCUUCAAAUCACAAUGACUCAGCUGAAAGACCAGAAGGAACACAUCAACUUCUUCCUUGAUGAGAUAAACAGAGAGAAAAUACAUGUUAAAGAGCUGGCCCUUCAGCUUCAGAAAGAAAACAUCAAAGUUCAGAAUGCAACAAACAUUAUUGCUCUGACACAAAGGGAACAACAUCGCAAAGAUUCUGACAUCUGGAGACAAACACAAGAACUGCAAUACAAUAGAAAAAUCGUACUGGCAGAAAGAGAAGAGCUGGAGCUUUUGAGGAAGGAUCUGAACAAGAAGAGAGAAGAGGUUGAUGCUGCAAUGAACACCAUGAGUGGUGAGAGAGAACAACUGUAUCACAUGAAGAGAAGUACUGACAUGGACAUAGCAAUGCUCCAUAAUGAAAAGGACAGAAUGGAAGGAGAAAGGUCUGAUCAGAAGAAAGAGAGAGAGCAUCUGGAUAGAGAGAGUGAGAAGAUGAACAAAGAGAAACUGGACUUGGAGCUGAUGACAUCUGAUAACCAGAAACAAAGUGACAUAUUAGAACAAAAGAUACAAGAUAUACGAGAGGAAAGAGACACAUUGGAAACAACAAAGUCUGAGCUACAAAAGAAGAAAGAACAUGCAGACAGUCAGUUUGAUGAGAUAAACAGAGAGAAAAGCAAUAUUAAAGAUCUGACCCUUCAGCUUCAGACACAAAGACUCAAACUGGAGAAUGCCAUGAACAUGAUCACCCGAAAACAAGAAGUACAAGAACUCAAGGAAGACCAGCUCAAAAAACAAACACAAACUCUGGAAACCAAUAAAAACAGUGUACUGGCAGAAAGAGAAAAGGUGGAGCUUUUGAGAAAGGAACUGAACAAGAAGAAAGAAGAGGUCGAUGCUGCAAUGAACACCAUGAGUGGAGAGAGAGAACAACUGUAUCACAUGAUGAGAAGUACUGACAUGGACACAGCAAUGCUCCAGAAUGAAAAGGACAGAAUGGAAGGAGAAAGGUCUGAUCUGAAGAAAGAUAAAGAGGAUGUGGAUAAUGAGAGUGAGAAGAUGAACAAAGAGAAACAGGACUUGGAGCUGAUGACAUCUGAUAUCCGGAAACAAAGUGCUGUACUAGAACAAGAGAUACAAGAUAUACAAGAGGAAAGAGAUGCAUUGGAAACAACAGAGUCUGAGCUACAAAAGAAGAAAGAACAUGCAGACAAUCAGUUUGAUGAGAUAAACAGAGAGAAAAGUAACAUUAAAGAUCUGACCCUUCAGCUUCAGAAACAAAGACUCAAACUGGAGAAUGCCAUGAACAUGAUCACCCGAAAACAAGAAGAACAAGAACUCAAGGAAGACGAGUUCAAAAGACAAACACACACCCUGGAAACCAAUAAGAACAGUGUACUGGUAGAAAGAGAAAAGGUGGAGCUUUUGAGGAAUGAACUGAACAAGAAGAAAGAAGAGGUCGAUGCUGCAAUGAACACCAUGAGUGGAGAGAGAGAACAACUGUAUCACAUGAAGAGAAGUACUGACAUGGACACAGCAAUGCUCCAGAAUGAAAAGGACAGAAUGGAAGGAGAAUGGUCUGAUCUGAAGAAAGAGAGAGAGCAUCUGGAUAGAGAGAGUGAGAAGAUGAACAAAGAGAAACUGGACUUGGAGCUGAUGACAUCUGAUAUACGGAAACAAAGUGACGUAUUAGAACAAGAGAUACAAGAUAUACGAGAGGAAAGAGACGCAUUUGAAACAACAAAGUUUGAGCUACAAAAGAAGAAAGAAUAUGCAGACUGUCAGUUUGAUGAGAUAAACAGAGUAAAAAGAAACAUUAAAGAUCUGACCCUUCAGCUUCAGACACAAAGACUCAAACUGGAGAAUGCCAUGAACAUGAUCACCCGAAAACAAGAAGAACAAGAACUCAAGGAAGACCAGUUCAAAAGACAACAACAAACCCUGGAAACCAAUAAAAACAGUGUACUGGCAGAAAAAGAAGAGCUGGACAUUUUGAGGGAGGAUCUGAACAAGAAGAAAGAAGAGGUCAAUGCUGCAAUGAACACCAUGAGUGGAGAGAAAGAACAACUGUAUCACAUGAAGAGAAGUACUAAAAUGGCUAUAGCAAUGCUCCAGAAUGAAAAGGACAGAAUGGAAGGAGAAUGGUCUGAUCUGAAGAAAGAGAGAGAGCAUCUGGAUAGAGAGAGUGAGAAGAUGAACAAAGAGAAACUGGACUUGGAGCUGAUGACAUCUGAUAACCAGAAACAAAGUGACGUAUUAGAACAAAAGAUACAAGAUAUACAAGAGGAAAGAGACACAUUGGAAACAACAAAGUCCGAGCUACAAAAGAACAAAGAACAUGCAGACAGUGAGCUUGAUGAGAUAAACAGAGAGAAAAGCAAUAUUAAAGAUCUGACCCUUCAGCUUCAGACACAAAGACUCAAAGUGGAGAAUGCCAUGAACAUGAUCACCCGAAAACAAGAAGAACAAGAGCUCAAAGAAGACCAGUUCAAAAGACAACAACAAACCCUGGAAACCAAUAAAAAAAGUGUACUGGCAGAAAGAGAAGAGCGGGACAUUUUGAGGGUGGAUCUGAACAAGAAGAAAGAAGAGGUCGAUGCUGCAAUGAACACCAUGAGUGGAGAGAGAGAACAACUGUAUCACAUGAAGAGAUGUACUGACAUGGACACAGCAAUGCUCCAGAAUGAAAAGGACCGAAUGGAAGGAGAAUGGUCUGAUCUGAAGAAAGAGAGAGAGCAUCUGGAUAGAGACAGUGAGAAGAUGAACAAAGACAAACUGGAUUUGGAGCUGAUGACAUCUGAUAUCCGGAAACAAAGUGACAUAUUAGAACAAAAUAUACAAGAUAUACGAGAGAAAAGAGACACAUUGGAAACAACAAAGUCUGAGCUACAAAAGAACAAAGAACAUGCAGACAGUCAGUUUGAUGAGAUAAACAGAGAGAAAAGCAAUAUUAAAGAUCUGAACCUUCAGCUUCAGACACAAAGACUCAAACUGGAGAAUGCCAUGAACAUGAUCAUCCGAAAACAAGAAGAACAAGAACUCAAGGAAGAACAGUUCAAAAAACAAACCCAAACCCUGGAAACCAGUAAGAACAGUGUACUGGAAGAAAGAGAAAAGGUGGAGCUUUUGAGGAAGGAACUGAACAAGAAGAAAGAAGAGGUAGAUGCUGCAAUGAACACCAUGAGUGGAGAGAGAGAACAACUGUAUCACAUAAAGAGAACUACUGACAUGGACAUAGCAAUGCUCCAGAAUGAAAAGGACAGAAUGGUAGGAGAAUGGUCUGAUCUGAAGAAAGAGAGAGAGCAUCUGGAUAGAGAGUGAGAAGAUGAACAAAGAAAAACUGAACUUGGAGCUGAUGACAUCUGAUAUCCGGAAACAAAGUGACGUAUUAGAACAAGAGAUACAAGAUAUACGAGAGGAAAGAGACGCAUUUGAAAUAACAAAGUCUGAGCUACAAAAGAAGAAAGAACAUGCAGACAGUCAGUUUGAUGAGAUAAACAGAGAGAAAAGCAACAUUAAAGAUCUGACUCUUCAGCUUCAGACACAAAGACUCAAACUGGAGAAUGCCAUGAACAUGAUCACCCGAAAACAAGAAGAACAAGAACUCAAGGAAGACGAGUUCAAAAGACAACAACAAACCCUGGAAACCAAUUGGAAACAAAUAAUGUACCCAAACAAAAAUGAAUGCGAUAAUUCAAAAUGUCAGGUAUUUCUGCAUCAAGUUUGACAUGUG